UAAUCUUUGGUGUAUAAGCACGAAAAAUUUUGAUUUUUUAAGAAAUAAUUGUUUUUAUUAAGAUUAA
This 67-nucleotide transfer RNA is filed under the name Haemaphysalis humerosa. Its description in RNAcentral is "tRNA-Gln". Lineage: Eukaryota; Metazoa; Arthropoda; Arachnida; Ixodida; Ixodidae. The record is from RNAcentral.